This 313-nucleotide ribosomal RNA is filed under the name uncultured fungus. RNAcentral's name for it is "eukaryotic LSU rRNA". The stretch from base 257 to 313 matches the Rfam family "Eukaryotic large subunit ribosomal RNA", at positions 1 to 57 of the family's 3401-position model. Lineage: Eukaryota; Fungi. The record is from RNAcentral.
UCGCCCCCCGGCCAUUCCGGAGGGCAUGCCUGUUCGAGCGUCAUGGACAACCUCGAACCGGGGAACGGUUCGUCGUUGGGUGUCGCUGGCUGGCGCCGGCACGCCUCAAAGCCAACGGGCCGGCCCCCCCGGGACCUAAAACCCUUCCCACCCCUCGGAAACGCGUGCAAAGGAUCGCGGCCGGGGAGGGGAAAGGGGUUCCAAGGGGACGCCUUUUCCCCUCCGUUUUCGUUCCCCUCGAACGAUCGGCGCGUGUUGACCUCGGAUCAGGUAGGAAUACCCGCUGAACUUAAGCAUAUCAAUAAGCGGAGGA